UAAUACAGAGGGUGCAAACGUUGCUCGGAAUUACUGGGCGUAAAGCGCGUGUAGGCGGUUCGUUAAGUCGUCUGUGAAAGCCCAUGGCUCAACCAUGGAAGUGCAGCCGAUACUGGCAAACUUGAGUCCCGGAGAGGAUGGCGGAAUUCCCAGUGUAGAGGUGAAAUUCGUAGAUAUUGGGAGGAACACCGGUGGCGAAGGCGGCCAUCUGGACGGGUACUGACGCUGAGACGCGAAAGCGCGGGUAGCAAACAGGAUUAGAUACCCUGGUAGUCCGCGCUGUAAACGAUGAACACUAGGUGUUGUGGGUAUUGACCCCUGCAGUGCCGACGCUAACGCAUUAAGUGUUCCGCCUGGGGACUACGGCCGCAAGGCUA
This 377-nucleotide ribosomal RNA is filed under the name uncultured bacterium. RNAcentral describes it as "bacterial SSU rRNA". It matches the Rfam family "Bacterial small subunit ribosomal RNA", at positions 521 to 896 of the family's 1533-position model. The record is from RNAcentral.